This 1684-nucleotide long non-coding RNA is filed under the name Homo sapiens (human). RNAcentral's name for it is "HSALNT0037731". The record is from RNAcentral. Lineage: Eukaryota; Metazoa; Chordata; Mammalia; Primates; Hominidae.
CAUCAACACAGUACAGAGCCGGCUCCUAGUACACUUCCCUGCCCCCACAACUCCCCACCCAAGUGCUGAGUCAUAUCUGACUGUGCAGGCAGAAUACUUUUCGCACCAGCCACAUCAAAACUUUAAAGACUCGUUUACUUUUAAGUGUACUGCACGGAUUCGUCUUCAAGCAAAAAUAUAUGAGCUACACACAGCUACAUUUUAUGACUGAUAAUAGCAGAUGUGUGGGCGUGUACAUGUUCAUAUAUAAUUUCAGCUGUUUCUCUGACAUUUUGUGCAAACAAAUCAAACGCUCACCAAAACUAGUUGAAAGUUUUAUUUUUAUAAAAUUAACAUAAAAGAUUGUUUAAAAAUCUGCAGUUAUUUACAGCAGUAUUGCACAAGUAAAGUGGCAAUUACCCUGUCAAAAUUCAUCAGUGCAAAACACAAGUAAGCCAGGGAAACUGCAAUACAAAUGCUACAUACGCUGGGUCCUAGAAAACAGGUUAGUGAUGGAUCAGUAUACAGCCAGAUCAGUGCUAUUUAUAAGUGGGUACCUGAUGAGUUCUGAUACAGUAACUAGUGGUCACAGAAUCUGGACAUAAAACAUAAGAGAGCUUCUAUAGUCUGAAAUUCCCAAAUAAAAGUAGUCAAGUUACUUAACUGGGAGCUUGAGGAUGCUUCUUACACACAAUGCUGUUUAGAGUAGACCCCAACUGAUUUAGCGUCAUCUGUAGACACGUUUCCCCCACCCCACGUGUACGUGAGUGGACACACACAGGCACCAGGCUAAAUCAGCAGGGAUGGCAGAACCACCUGCAUGGAACCACCAUGAAGUCUCCUUAAAGCUCCCAUAAGCUUUCACAUCUUGACACCCAGUCCAGUGGGGCCCCAACCUCCCCUGAAGGAGAUGGAGUAUCAGAAGGAGGGCAUCGACCUGAAGAAGCAGGCUGACCAAAUGCAGUGACCGUAUGGGUGGGGCGUGGGGAGGGCUGUACAGUUAAUUAGCUCCUGAAGACAAGUUAGUCCAACCUCAAAGCACAGGAAGUUGCACAGCAGGUGGGGGAAAACCCAGCUACUCACAGUUGUCCACAAGGGGUUAGUGGCCUGAGUUGUCAGGGAUAAAUUUUCAAUAGAAAAAUCUUUCCCACCUGCUGAUAAUACUUUGGUUUUUUUGUUUUCCUAAAGAUAAAGCCUGGAGUCAGCAAAAUUUGCUUGCAUGAUAAGCUAGUUGCUUUGGAACAAACAGAAGGUUGCUGGGUAUUUCUUGGAGUAGAAUUUUGUAGCCUGCCAGACUGAGUUUCUCACUGGCAUCAAACACACACUUCAUCAUAAGGGCGGCAAAGCCCAAGAAUUGAAACCCACUUGACUGGAAAUACCAGGACCCGAAGGUGGAGAGCCACCCUGGAGGACCACGUGGUCUGCAAUGAGCUCUCCAGUCACCCCCGACAACUCUCAGGAGUUAACUUCAUGGGACGGCAGGGGAGUGGGAGACAGGGAUGUUAAUACUUUUCAGAAAUUAAGACAUUAAAUAAGCAGAAAAUAAAUAUACAAUAUUUCUACAAGUUACAGCAUUAUGAAACAGUAGGACACAUCACACAGAAAAAGAAUCUACAAUAUUUACAAUCCUUGAUUUUGAAAAAGUUGAGAAAAACAGUGAUUUUUUUACUUAUUUAUGCUGUACAAAAUUUUACAAGGUAAAGGA